RNAcentral lists this ribosomal RNA (253 nucleotides) under uncultured bacterium. RNAcentral describes it as "partial 16S ribosomal RNA". It matches the Rfam family "Bacterial small subunit ribosomal RNA", at positions 524 to 776 of the family's 1533-position model. The record is from RNAcentral.
GACGGAGGGCGCGGGCGUUAUUCGGAUUUAUUGGGUUUAAAGGGUGCGUAGGCGGCCUGUUAAGUCAGGGGUGAAAGACGGUAGCUCAACUAUCGCAGUGCCCUUGAUACUGAUGGGCUUGAAUGUACUAGAGGUAGGCGGAAUGUGACAAGUAGCGGUGAAAUGCAUAGAUAUGUCACAGAACACCAAUUGCGAAGGCAGCUUACUAUGGUAUUAUUGACGCUGAGGCACGAAAGCGUGGGGAUCAAACAGG